This 667-nucleotide non-coding RNA is filed under the name Drosophila virilis. Its description in RNAcentral is "Eukaryotic large subunit ribosomal RNA". It matches the Rfam family "Eukaryotic large subunit ribosomal RNA", at positions 1 to 627 of the family's 3401-position model. Lineage: Eukaryota; Metazoa; Arthropoda; Insecta; Diptera; Drosophilidae. The record is from Rfam by way of RNAcentral.
CAACCUCAACUCAUAUGGGACUACCCCCUGAAUUUAAGCAUAUUAAUUAGGGGAGGAAAAGAAACUAACAAGGAUUUUCUUAGUAGCGGCGAGCGAAAAGAAAUCAGUUCAGCACUAAGUCACUUUGUCUAUAUGGCAAAUGUGAGAUGCAGUGUACGGAACAUCAACAUUCUAGUAUGAGAAGUUAACGAUUUAAGUCCUUCUUAAAUGAGGCCAUUUACCCAUAGAGGGUGCCAGGCCCGUAUAACGUUAAUGAUUACUAGAUGGUGUUUCCAAAGAGUCGUGUUGCUUGAUAGUGCAGCACUAAGUGGGUGGUAAACUCCAUCUAAAACUAAAUAUAACCAUGAGACCGAUAGUAAACAAGUACCGUGAGGGAAAGUUGAAAAGAACUCUGAAUAGAGAGUUAAAUAGUACGUGAAACUGCUUAGAGGUUAAGCCCGAUGAACCUGAAUAUCCGUUAUGGAAAAUUCAUCAUUAGAAUUGUAAUAUUUUAAACAAUAUUAUAAUAAUAGUGUGCAUUUUUUCCAUAUAAGGACAUUGUAAUCUAUUAGCAUAAAUAUUUAUCAUAAAAUUAUGUCUGAUUGCUUAUUUGAAUUAUAUGCUUGGCAUUUUAACAUAAAAUAAAAGAUAUAAAUUUGAUAAAGUGCUGAUAGAUUUAUAUGAUUAC